GGGCGCAUAGCUCAGUCUGGUAGAGCAACUGGCUUUUAACCAGUAGGUCCCAGGUUCGAUCCCUGGUGCGCUCACCA
RNAcentral lists this transfer RNA (77 nucleotides) under Planctomycetota bacterium. RNAcentral's name for it is "tRNA-Lys". It matches the Rfam family "tRNA". From Rfam's summary of the family: Transfer RNA (tRNA) molecules are approximately 80 nucleotides in length. The record is from RNAcentral. RNAcentral also lists the same sequence under 1 other name. Lineage: Bacteria; Pseudomonadati; Planctomycetota.